CUAAACCAUGCACCGAAGCUGCGGCAGCGACGCUGAUGCGUUGUUGGGUAGGGGAGCGUUCUGUAAGCCUGCGAAGGUGUGCUGUGAGGCAUGCUGGAGGUAUCAGAAGUGCGAAUGCUGACAUAAGUAACGAUAAAGCGGGUGAAAAGCCCGCUCGCCGGAAGACCAAGGGUUCCUGUCCAACGUUAAUCGGGGCAGGGUGAGUCGACCCCUAAGGCGAGGCCGAAAGGCGUAGUCGAUGGGAAACAGGUUAAUAUUCCUGUACUUGGUGUUACUGCGAAGGGGGGACGGAGAAGGCUAUGUUGGCCGGGCGACGGUUGUCCCGGUUUAAGCGUGUAGGCUGGUUUUCCAGGCAAAUCCGGAAAAUCAAGGCUGAGGCGUGAUGACGAGGCACUACGGUGCUGAAGCAACAAAUGCCCUGCUUCCAGGAAAAGCCUCUAAGCAUCAGGUAACAUCAAAUCGUACCCCAAACCGACACAGGUGGUCAGGUAGAGAAUACCAAGGCGCUUGAGAGAACUCGGGUGAAGGAACUAGGCAAAAUGGUGCCGUAACUUCGGGAGAAGGCACGCUGAUAUGUAGGUGAAGUCCCUCGCGGAUGGAGCUGAAAUCAGUCGAAGAUACCAGCUGGCUGCAACUGUUUAUUAAAAACACAGCACUGUGCAAACACGAAAGUGGACGUAUACGGUGUGACGCCUGCCCGGUGC
This 704-nucleotide ribosomal RNA is filed under the name Escherichia coli. Its description in RNAcentral is "partial 23S ribosomal RNA". It matches the Rfam family "Bacterial large subunit ribosomal RNA", at positions 1181 to 1869 of the family's 2925-position model. Lineage: Bacteria; Pseudomonadati; Pseudomonadota; Gammaproteobacteria; Enterobacterales; Enterobacteriaceae. The record is from RNAcentral.